UACGUAGGGGGCAAGCGUUGUCCGGAAUCAUUGGGCGUAAAGAGCGCGUAGGCGGUCCGGUAAGUCGGUUGUGAAAACUGGGGGGCUCAACCCUCAGAGGCCGACCGAUACUGUCGGGCUAGAGUCCGGAAGAGGCGAGUGGAAUUCCUGGUGUAGCGGUGAAAUGCGCAGAUAUCGGGAAGAACACCCGUGGCGAAGGCGGCUCUCUGGGACGGUACUGACGCUGAGACGCGAAAGCGUGGGGAGCGAACAGG
This 254-nucleotide ribosomal RNA is filed under the name uncultured bacterium. RNAcentral describes it as "partial 16S ribosomal RNA". It matches the Rfam family "Bacterial small subunit ribosomal RNA", at positions 524 to 776 of the family's 1533-position model. The record is from RNAcentral.